AGAGUUUGAUCCUGGCUCAGGAUGAAUGCUAGCAGUGCGCCUGAGAUAUGCAAGUCGAGCGUUGCCGGAGGAGAGCUUGCUCUCCGAUGGAAGCGGCGGACGGCUGAGUAAUACGUAGGGACUUCCCCCUAGGUAGAGAAUAGCUCACCGAAAGGUGGGGUAAUGCUCUAUGGUACCUUCUUUUUGAAGGUUAAAGUCUUCGGACGCCAAGGGAUAGACCUGCGGCCUAUCAGGUAGUUGGUGAGAUAAUAGCUUCACCAAGCCUAUGACGGGUAGCUGGCCUCAUGAGGGUGGUCAGCCAGAGGGGGACUGAGACACGGCCCCCACUCCUACGGGAGGCAGCAAUCAGGAAUCGUCGGCAAUGGGGGAAACCCUGACCGCGCGACACUGCGUGUAGGAAGACGCUCGAAAGAGUGUAAACUACUGUGGUAGAGGAAGAAGUCCUUCGGGAUUGACGGUACUCUACUAGAAAGGGGCCGCUAACUGCGUGCCAGAAGCGUCGGUAAUACGUGGGCCCCAAGCAUUAUCCGGUUUAAUUGGGCGUAAAGGGUCGUGUAGGUGGAUAGGUAAGUUAUCUUUUAAAUUCAGAGGCUCAACCUCUGGUCUGGAGGUAAUACUACCUGUCUAGAGUUUUCUUUAGGGUAAGCGGAACUGAGUGAGUAGUAGUGAAAUGCGUUGAUACACUCGGGAACACCAGUGGCGAAGGCGGCUUACUGGAAGAAGACUGACACUGAGACACGAAAGCUAGGGGAGCGAAGCAGAUUAGAGACCUGCGUAGUCCUAGCCCUAAACGAAUGUUCGCUAGCUGCAUUGGCCAACUUUUGUUGUCCGGUGUGGCGAAGGUAACCCGUUAAGCGAACCGCCUGGGGAGUACGGCCGCAAGGCUAAAACUCAAAGGAAUNNNNNNNNNNNACAGGUGCUGCAUGGCUGUCGUCAGUUCGUUCCGUGAGGAGUGCCCUUAAGUGGGACAACGAACGCAACCCCCAUCGUAUGUUACAAGUGUCAUACGAAACUGCCCAAGUCUGACUUGGGAGGAAGGAGGGGCAGACGUCAAGUCAGCAUGGUCCUUAUACCCUGGGCUGCACACAUGUUACAAUGGGAAGGACAAUGGGUUUUGCAAACUCGCGAGAGUAAGCGAAUCCCACAAACCUUCUCUCAGUUGGGAUUGAAGUCUGCAAUUCGACUUCAUGAACGCGGAAUUGGUAGUAAUCGUGGAUCAGCUACGCCACGGUGAAUACGUUCUUGCCUCUUGCACACACCGCCCGUCAAGCCAACAAAGUCGUUGGUAUUCGAACCUCGUGUUUACACGGGGGAGAGUACUGAUGGCGAUGAGGGUUAAGUCGUAACAAGGUAUCCGUUCUGGAAGGAGCGGAUG
Molecule: ribosomal RNA, 1375 nt
Filed under: Candidatus Roizmanbacteria bacterium UBA1450
Lineage: Bacteria; Candidatus Roizmaniibacteriota
Description: bacterial SSU rRNA
Rfam family: Bacterial small subunit ribosomal RNA
Source: RNAcentral